This 130-nucleotide small RNA is filed under the name Carnobacterium divergens. RNAcentral's name for it is "L10_leader". It matches the Rfam family "Ribosomal protein L10 leader". Rfam says of the family: This family is a putative r-protein leader autoregulatory structure found in B. subtilis and other low-GC Gram-positive bacteria. It is located in the 5' untranslated regions of mRNAs encoding ribosomal proteins L10 and L12 (rplJ-rplL). The record is from RNAcentral. Lineage: Bacteria; Bacillati; Bacillota; Bacilli; Lactobacillales; Carnobacteriaceae.
UAGGUUAAUAAAUAUUUACCGAAGACAGUAGGUGACGCAAGUCUUAAUUUCCUACCGAGGAUCAUACUAUGUGCAAACAUAUAAUAAUCCCUCUAUGUCUAAGGUGACAUGGGGCUUUUUGCUUUUCAUG